Amphimedon queenslandica is the source of this 2059-nucleotide RNA transcript. RefSeq lists it as uncharacterized. NCBI's taxonomy places the organism in Eukaryota, Metazoa, Porifera, Demospongiae, Haplosclerida, Niphatidae. The record is from RefSeq and is a predicted model, not a curated record. The transcript has 8 exons.
CCUUGACAAGUAUCUAUAUAAGCAAGCUUCUGCUAUCUGUAUUACACAAUACAGUAAACAAGUUAACAACUAGUGAUGGCUAGUCAGUCAACAGGACUCAAUGCUGCAUCAAGGACCCCAUUAGGACUGGAACAUCUUGACAUUGUGCUCAAAGCAUGUAAAGGAUGCAGUGCUGAUUGGGAAAGACUAGGACUGACAUUAGGCCUCCAUAAUGACACAAUAAAAGAGAUUGAGAGGGAUAAAAAUAAAUGCACUGAGCAAAUGAGAGUAAUGCUGUCAGAGUGGCUGAAAGGGAAUUACGAGGUUUCAAACAACUAUCCAGAACCAUCCCAACAUUCACUGUGUAUUGCAGUAGCUGGGAUUGACAGAAGCCUGGCAGAAACUAUAAGCAAUGAUCCAUCAUUCAGUGACAUUAAUAAUAUACAAGGAUCCAAUAACAGCAGACCUCUAUACACAACACAAGAAUUGAUGCAGUUCUGUACUUGCACCCAAUGUGAACUAGAGACAAUAAUCACCACAGGCUGCCCUCAAAGAAGAGAAGACUUCCAUCCUCUUAACAUCAAACGACUUUCACAAAAACAGAGGGAUGUAUACUUGUGUCACGCAAUAACAGAAAUACGAGAGGUCAAGAAAGAAUGGACCCGCGCUUACAUCCGAAUCACACAAUCAAUAUCAAGAAAUACUGAGAUAUCAGUGUCUUACUUAAAAACCAUCAUAACAACACUGGAUUGGUUUGGAGCAGCAAAAGAUAAAAGCCCUCGUCUCCAGCAAUUGAAUGAGUGCCAAGACAAGGAAAGCAUUUUUGAAGUGUAUGCACAAAUAUGCUCAUGGCUGAACCAUCAUCCUCUAGGAGAAAUAGUUCAUGAAUGUGGAACAGAAAAUGAGAAACAAGAAUAUGAAAAAUACAUUGCCAAAAAAGAACGAUUCCUACGUCACUCAAUAACAUUUUUCACUGACUUGUGCAGUCAGGAUCUUGGAGGAGCAGUCACUGAAGUAAAACUGUUUCGCUUCAAAUUAGACACGGAGCUAAGCCAUGAUGUGCUGGAUGGUACCAUCCUCCCAUUCCUUCAAGGAGAAGUAGCCAAACUUCUCAACAUAUCUCAAAUGAAUUUCUACAUUUUGUCGCUUAGAGAGGGCUGCCUUGAAAUUGUUUUCUCGAUUCCUGAAAUUACAUAUAACAAAUACGUUCCGCUGACACUCGAUCGCUCAAGGGCAUUGGAAAACUUGACUAAUGAGCCAGUAGGACUGAAAUUCAAAUCAAUGUAUUACUCAGAUGUAGAUGUUCAUACUUUGAGUGCUGAUUCUGAUGAGCAAGGCAUAUCAUUGACUGAUACCAACGGUGAAACCAAAAGCGACAACACCAUAACUGAUGAUACACUAUGCACACCUGAAAUAUCAGAUGAGGCAAGAAAGCAUCAAUUGGGUUCAAAUAAUCCCAAACAUGAAGAUGAUCCUCUUGAUAUCAAAGAAACAAAUUUAUCAGAGAGAAUAAGUAAACAAAAUGAGGCAGACAUUGAACUGGACCAUAUUUUAAAGUCAGGUCGCAUAAGAGGAAGACGGCCACAAAUAUCAAUGAGACACUCGCUUUCAUCGGAAUUGGUGGAGUCAAAUGAUUUUUAAUGUCCAAAUUAAAAAAGACAAAAAGGAAUAAUGACUUAAUUGUUGUCAAGUUGUCCAUGUACUUGAAUGAACUCAUAAAAUAGAAUUUUAUUCGUGGGCUUCAACUAUUGUAAUCAAAUAAAGUUCACUUCACAUAAGACACAAGGUAAAUACUCAGGACAGAGAUGUGAGCGAGAUCUUAUUAAUAAAUAAGCACUAAGGUGUAAUGCUAACUGCAUUGUGUAGAAAGAUGGUCACAUGACUCUCAUACAGUUCAGUACAGUAGCAUUUAUGACAUUGUGUAGAUUACAAUGUUAAUAAUAACUACAAUAAGCACACAGGAAAUCAAAAUGGCUCCACAAAAUUUCCAAAAAUUGAAAGCACUAAGGUGCACAUAUAAUCCACAUUCAAUCUGUAAUUAAAAAUACAUGUAGUUUGCUUAUAAUUAGGUUUGAGAGAA